Molecule: ribosomal RNA, 253 nt
Filed under: uncultured bacterium
Lineage: Bacteria
Description: partial 16S ribosomal RNA
Rfam family: Bacterial small subunit ribosomal RNA
Source: RNAcentral
UACGUAGGGUGCAAGCGUUGUCCGGAAUUAUUGGGCGUAAAGAGCUCGUAGGCGGUCUGUCGCGUCGAAUGUGAAAACCCGGGGCUCAACCCCGGGCCUGCAUUCGAUACGGGCAGACUAGAGUUCGGUAGGGGAGUCUGGAAUUCCUGGUGUAGCGGUGGAAUGCGCAGAUAUCAGGAGGAACACCGAUGGCGAAGGCAGAUCUCUGGGCCGUAACUGACGCUGAGGAGCGAAAGCGUGGGGAGCGAACAGG